RNAcentral lists this ribosomal RNA (2228 nucleotides) under Shigella dysenteriae. RNAcentral's name for it is "bacterial LSU rRNA". It matches the Rfam family "Bacterial large subunit ribosomal RNA", at positions 455 to 2670 of the family's 2925-position model. The record is from RNAcentral. Lineage: Bacteria; Pseudomonadati; Pseudomonadota; Gammaproteobacteria; Enterobacterales; Enterobacteriaceae.
AUCCUCCAAGGCUAAAUACUCCUGACUGACCGAUAGUGAACCAGUACCGUGAGGGAAAGGCGAAAAGAACCCCGGCGAGGGGAGUGAAAAAGAACCUGAAACCGUGUACGUACAAGCAGUGGGAGCCUCUUUAUGGGGUGACUGCGUACCUUUUGUAUAAUGGGUCAGCGACUUAUAUUCUGUAGCAAGGUUAACCGAAUAGGGGAGCCGAAGGGAAACCGAGUCUUAACUGGGCGUUAAGUUGCAGGGUAUAGACCCGAAACCCGGUGAUCUAGCCAUGGGCAGGUUGAAGGUUGGGUAACACUAACUGGAGGACCGAACCGACUAAUGUUGAAAAAUUAGCGGAUGACUUGUGGCUGGGGGUGAAAGGCCAAUCAAACCGGGAGAUAGCUGGUUCUCCCCGAAAGCUAUUUAGGUAGCGCCUCGUGAACUCAUCUCGGGGGGUAGAGCACUGUUUCGGCAAGGGGGUCAUCCCGACUUACCAACCCGAUGCAAACUGCGAAUACCGGAGAAUGUUAUCACGGGAGACACACGGCGGGUGCUAACGUCCGUCGUGAAGAGGGAAACAACCCAGACCGCCAGCUAAGGUCCCAAAGUCAUGGUUAAGUGGGAAACGAUGUGGGAAGGCCCAGACAGCCAGGAUGUUGGCUUAGAAGCAGCCAUCAUUUAAAGAAAGCGUAAUAGCUCACUGGUCGAGUCGGCCUGCGCGGAAGAUGUAACGGGGCUAAACCAUGCACCGAAGCUGCGGCAGCGACACUAUGUGUUGUUGGGUAGGGGAGCGUUCUGUAAGCCUGUGAAGGUGUACUGUGAGGUAUGCUGGAGGUAUCAGAAGUGCGAAUGCUGACAUAAGUAACGAUAAAGCGGGUGAAAAGCCCGCUCGCCGGAAGACCAAGGGUUCCUGUCCAACGUUAAUCGGGGCAGGGUGAGUCGACCCCUAAGGCGAGGCCGAAAGGCGUAGUCGAUGGGAAACAGGUUAAUAUUCCUGUACUUGGUGUUACUGCGAAGGGGGGACGGAGAAGGCUAUGUUGGCCGGGCGACGGUUGUCCCGGUUUAAGCGUGUAGGCUGGUUUUCCAGGCAAAUCCGGAAAAUCAAGGCUGAGGUGUGAUGACGAGGCACUACGGUGCUGAAGCAACAAAUGCCCUGCUUCCAGGAAAAGCCUCUAAGCAUCAGGUAACAUCAAAUCGUACCCCAAACCGACACAGGUGGUCAGGUAGAGAAUACCAAGGCGCUUGAGAGAACUCGGGUGAAGGAACUAGGCAAAAUGGUGCCGUAACUUCGGGAGAAGGCACGCUGAUAUGUAGGUGAAGUCCCUCGCGGAUGGAGCUGAAAUCAGUCGAAGAUACCAGCUGGCUGCAACUGUUUAUUAAAAACACAGCACUGUGCAAACACGAAAGUGGACGUAUACGGUGUGACGCCUGCCCGGUGCCGGAAGGUUAAUUGAUGGGGUUAGCGCAAGCGAAGCUCUUGAUCGAAGCCCCGGUAAACGGCGGCCGUAACUAUAACGGUCCUAAGGUAGCGAAAUUCCUUGUCGGGUAAGUUCCGACCUGCACGAAUGGCGUAAUGAUGGCCAGGCUGUCUCCACCCGAGACUCAGUGAAAUUGAACUCGCUGUGAAGAUGCAGUGUACCCGCGGCAAGACGGAAAGACCCCGUGAACCUUUACUAUAGCUUGACACUGAACAUUGAGCCUUGAUGUGUAGGAUAGGUGGGAGGCUUAGAAGUGUGGACGCCAGUCUGCAUGGAGCCGACCUUGAAAUACCACCCUUUAAUGUUUGAUGUUCUAACGUUGACCCGUAAUCCGGGUUGCGGACAGUGUCUGGUGGGUAGUUUGACUGGGGCGGUCUCCUCCUAAAGAGUAACGGAGGAGCACGAAGGUUGGCUAAUCCUGGUCGGACAUCAGGAGGUUAGUGCAAUGGCAUAAGCCAGCUUGACUGCGAGCGUGACGGCGCGAGCAGGUGCGAAAGCAGGUCAUAGUGAUCCGGUGGUUCUGAAUGGAAGGGCCAUCGCUCAACGGAUAAAAGGUACUCCGGGGAUAACAGGCUGAUACCGCCCAAGAGUUCAUAUCGACGGCGGUGUUUGGCACCUCGAUGUCGGCUCAUCACAUCCUGGGGCUGAAGUAGGUCCCAAGGGUAUGGCUGUUCGCCAUUUAAAGUGGUACGCGAGCUGGGUUUAGAACGUCGUGAGACAGUUCGGUCCCUAUCUGCCGUGGGCGCUGGAGAACUGAGGGGG